AAGCCAUGCAUGUCUAAGUAUAAGCAAUUAUACAGCGAAACUGCGAACGGCUCAUUAUAUAAGUUAUCGUUUAUUUGAUAGUGCCUGUCCUACUUGGAUAACCGUGGUAAUUCUAGAGCUAAUACAUGCUAAAAAUCCCGACUUCGGAAGGGAUGUAUUUAUUAGAUUAAAAGCCAAUGCCCUUCGGGGCUCUAUGGUGAUUCAUAAUAACUUCACGGAUCGCACGGCCUUGCGCCGGCGAUGGUUCAUUCAAAUUUCUUCCCUAUCAACUUUCGAUGUUUGGGUAUUGGCCAAACAUGGUGGCAACGGGUAACGGAGGGUUAGGGCUCGACCCCGGAGAAGGAGCCUGAGAAACGGCUACUACAUCCAAGGAAGGCAGCAGGCGCGCAAAUUACCCAAUCCCGACUCGGGGAGGUAGUGACAAUAAAUACUGAUACAGGGCUCUUUUGGGUCCUGUAAUUGGAAUGAGUACAAUUUAAAUCCCUUAACGAGGAACAAUUGGAGGGCAAGUCUGGUGCCAGCACCCGCGGUAAUUCCAGCUCCAAUAGCGUAUAUUAAAGUUGUUGUGGUUAAAAAGCUCGUAGUUGAACCUUGGGCCUGGCUGGCCGGUCCGCCUCCCCCGUGUACUGGUCCGGCCGGGCCUUUCCUCUGUGGAACUCCAUGCCCUUCACUGGGGGGGGCGGGGAAACAGGACUUUUCUUUGAAAAAAUUAAAAUGCUCCAGGGAGGGCCUUUGCUC
Molecule: ribosomal RNA, 738 nt
Filed under: Hypocreales sp. LM239
Lineage: Eukaryota; Fungi; Ascomycota; Sordariomycetes; Hypocreales
Description: SSU rRNA
Rfam family: Eukaryotic small subunit ribosomal RNA
Source: RNAcentral